Molecule: non-coding RNA, 107 nt
Organism: Myotis brandtii (Brandt's bat)
Lineage: Eukaryota; Metazoa; Chordata; Mammalia; Chiroptera; Vespertilionidae
Source: Rfam
AUGCUCACUUUGGCAGCACAUAUACUAAAAUUGGAACAACACAGAGAAGAUUAGCAUGGCCCUUGCACAAGGAUGACACGCAAAUACUUGAAGCAUUCCAAAAACAA